GUGAACUGUGAAGAUCAACGUAUCUACUGGUGAAGACAUCAGCAGACAUGGAGAGUAAGCUGAUGUUUUUAGUGGUUUGCGUGAUGGGCUGUGCAGUGUCUUUUAUUAAGGCUGAGCUCAAAGUAUCAACACCAACAAAUUUGACUUCCAAAAUCAACCGCAGUGAGUGUGGAAAAACCAAACUUUGUUUGGACAACCCUAAAGGAUGCGAUCCUUCGGGUAGCUCUCAGUGUUUCUUCAACUCUGUUGCCUUCACUAACAUGAGCCUCACUGUUGAGCUCAGUGGCAACUCUACCGGUUACAUUGCUUUAGCAGCUGGAGAGACAUCUAAUCUGCCUCAGAACCGUAAUAUCAUCUUUGUCUGUGGCAACAAUAAUGGCAGUUUUUUCUUCAGAACAACAACACUCUACAAUACUACACUGGGGAUCGCAAAUUUACUUAAUGUGAACAAUGUCGAGGGUUCGAUACAGCCAAGCUUGAUUCAGUGUGUUUUCAGCAUUCCCAUUGAUGAAAACGCCAUUUACAUACUAAGCACUAUCAACGGCACAUAUAUCAACUUAACCGACAUUGCUAAUUCCAAAAUUCCCGUAUUCCUUGACAUCUUGAAGGGUUCAACCAAUGGAACUGCGCUGGGAACACCAACAAGUGUACUUGAGUCCCCGGUUCUGGUUAAUCUAGCUAAUCUAGCUAAUCUAACUAAUUCUACAAAUGUUGUAAGCACCCCAGCUAGCACCCCAGCUAAUUCAAAUGCCAGCAUCUCACUCACCAGCCUCUUGAGUCAUGCAGCAAUUUGCCUUCUCAGUAUCUUCUUGCAUCUGAUCUGAUGAGACCCAAGAGACCUGAGGACUAAUCAUGAUUUAGAGUAGUAUGUGGAUAUGUAGUAACGUUGGCAUGUUUUCCAAAAAAUAUUCUUAUUUCCAUUGGCUUCUUUUUUUUUUCCAUCUGAUUCUUUCUAUAAGAUUAUUCACAAACAUAUAAGUUGUGCUUUACAUAUACUGGGUGUUAGGAAACAUAAAAAGCGGUGUGGUGUUUUAAUGAUCUUCUAACAUUAUUUACUGAUAGUGGAAAUGACCAUGAAAAGAUACACUUGUAUUUUGAAAGAGAUUUGAAGUUACAUUAAAAAUAAUUUGUUAAAAUAAUACAUAAAUAAAAAUUAUAAAUCCAAUUACAAUACAAUGUUAUUAAACAAAUCAUUUUGUUGGCAAAUUUUUACUUACUAUACUUACUAUAAAUAAAAAUGUAUAUUGUGAUU
Molecule: long non-coding RNA, 1252 nt
Organism: Ctenopharyngodon idella (grass carp)
Lineage: Eukaryota; Metazoa; Chordata; Actinopteri; Cypriniformes; Xenocyprididae
Exons: 7
Source: RefSeq, a predicted model, not a curated record